Molecule: long non-coding RNA, 684 nt
Organism: Alligator sinensis (Chinese alligator)
Lineage: Eukaryota; Metazoa; Chordata; Crocodylia; Alligatoridae
Exons: 3
Source: RefSeq, a predicted model, not a curated record
UGCCCAGAGGCCCAAAUCCUAAACCUUUAUUCCCGUAAGAAAGGACGAUGGUAGGGACCUCAACAGAACUUUGGUCAUGAGAAGCCUGUUUGCAAAGCUGGACUUCUGAUAUUUCGUGCAAGACUGUUUUGCACGUUUUCUGCACAAUUAUAAUUUGAGCAUAUUACUACAAAUUUAAUAACUGAUUUCUACUACACCAAGAUAACGAUCCUGCAGUUAGGGGAGAUGGAAAAUCAAAACAACUGUUGAACUCCAGAAAGAUCAAGGAUGUCAGUCCAAUCAUCCCUCGUUUACACUGCUGAUCUAGAUGACAGAGUAUCGACAAAACCUUGUCUCCUAGGAAACAUCAUGGAGAUGAAAAAAAAACAAAUCAGCUCAUAAAACUUCUCUGCACAAUGUCAGUCCAAAGCUUGCAACAAUAUUUAAAGUAAUGUCAGGGUUACUAAAUGUUUGGGAGUUUGAAGCUAGCUGAUGUGAACUAUAGCCAUUUCCUAAUUUACCCUAUUCUACUUUUGAUCAUCACUACAGCAGUCAAAAUGUCCAAAGUAUUGUGGUUCAAAAAUAGAUCUAUACUACUCAAAGCUUACAAGCAGGGCCAGACACAGGCAUGGGCUAACCAGGCAGCUGCCUGGGGCCUGGACAGAAAGGGGGCCCAAAAAAUGAAAACACCGUUUCAAGUUACAA